AAAAUGAACUAAAUAAAUAUUGCAGAUUAUUACAUCACCACUUGGAUGGGGAGAGGUUUCCCUCGAGGAAACUGGGCAUCUGCACUGUAAGGGCAGGCAGAUGCAGUCACAGAGGGCCUUGUCACCCCCAUCGCCCAUGUCUCCUCCAUUUCUGCUGCCACGUGGUAGGCACCUUAGUGCUGUACCUGCUUUGAAUCUCAUCUCCCACCAUUCCUCUGAGCACCCUGCCAAGUUAAUCUUGAGAUAUUAGUUUUGUCUCUCCUGACACAGAAAUGUGGCCAGUGUUUCACCUUCAUCUGGCAGCCAAGGCCCCUUAUCAUUGGUCCAUAGUAACCAUCCCUGUGAGCUCUGUUCAUAUCUCCUUGCCUUCUCCUUGAUGGUGAUCUGAGUCCAGGAGCACCACCCAGCCCUUCUUUCUUCCCCACAUGGCCUAUGGGUGACACGUACCAUCACGUUGACUCCCUGCACCAUCCUUCUGCCACCUUUCUUCACAUCCCCUUUGCAGAUCCCCUUGACCACACCCUCAUUCUCAGCUGGUGCUCAUGAAGGACAGAAGAGUCAAUGUCAGUACAAUGUCCUUGUCAUGCCCAGCCUCAGAACUCGCCGUGAGGAGGCAGAGAUGGAGCUCUCAGUUCCAGGACCAUCCCCCUGGACCCCUGCAGCCCAGGCCCGUGUGAGAGAUGCUCCUGCUGUGACCCACCCUGGAUCUGCAGCCUGUGGUACCCCCUGCUGUAGUGAUACUGAGCUGGAAGCCAUCUGCCCUCACUAUCAGCAGCCAGGUACUUUAAGAACAGUUCUCCGCUGGUGCCCUUAUUCUGGGGAAGUGAUGUCCAUGGAACCCUGUGCUUACCCCUAGGAGGCAUCUG
Molecule: long non-coding RNA, 866 nt
Filed under: Homo sapiens (human)
Lineage: Eukaryota; Metazoa; Chordata; Mammalia; Primates; Hominidae
Description: non-protein coding lnc-ZNF250-3:3
Source: RNAcentral